RNA transcript from Dermochelys coriacea (leatherback sea turtle), 7520 nucleotides. It is a transcript of the gene named MIA SH3 domain ER export factor 2, with no coding region annotated. The transcript is spliced from 6 exons. NCBI's taxonomy places the organism in Eukaryota, Metazoa, Chordata, Testudines, Dermochelyidae. The record is from RefSeq and is a predicted model, not a curated record.
UAUAGUAACUUCAUUACAUUUAAUAGGGACACAUCAGAUAAUGAACAGGGGCAGGAAUCUGUGGUUGCUCAUGGCAUACAGGAAUCAGUUACAUCCCAGCUUCACUCUUUUCCUAGCUCACCUCAAAGCUUAGACUCCACUAUUGCUAAAAAUUCAGAAGAAGAAAAGCAUGACAGGUUUGAAGAAUCUCAAUCUCUCCUCUCAUUUACUCAUUUUACAAACAUACUGAGCUUUCACAGUUUAACAACCAAAGUAAAGGAAUCUGUGCAAAAUGCACAGGAGGAUUUGAACUUUAGUGAAGAACUCACCCAAUCUGAAAAUAAUGAUGAAAUAUUACAAGGAAGUAAAGAAACUGCAGUGAAAUUACAAGCAAAUCAGAGGGUUAGUGAGAAUAUGCAAGAGAAGGGAGAUGUGGCAAUGUCCCAAGAAAGAGUUCUGUUGUCCCCAUUAGCAGUGCAAGAUAAUGAACAAAGUAGUGAAAAAACUAUACAAGAUGCGAGAUUAGUAAUAUAUAACAAUACUUCACCCCUUUUAUCUGUAGAAUCCCAGUUAGAAUCUAAAAUCUCCCAAGGUCAACAUUCACAAAUAUCUAGAUAUUCAAACCCUGAGGAACCCGUUUCUGAGGGUAGUGAAAGACAGGAAUUUUCUAAUAUAAAAGAUAACAGUGAUGUCCCUAUCUCCAAAGACCAGCAGCAUGCAUCUUCAGAUUUAAAGUUAGACAAUACAAUAGAUUCACCAGUACAACAUGAAUAUAUAAGUGAAGAUUUUUAUUCUAGUGAACAGCGUGUGUUAUCAAAAGAGGAAGCAAUUGAACAUAAAGAGGACAGAACAGAUAAGAAUGAAGAAAUGCAUACUUUAAACCUACAAGAAACUGAAACUUACAUAGAGAGGAACUCACAAAGAGAAAUAGCUGAAAUGAUGCAAGAUGAAGGACAAAAUAAUCUGAAAACACAUAAACAAGAAUCAGUAGAUUCAGAAUUUGACACACCAAGUUCUGGGGAGUUGCCAGCAAAUGUAGAUAGUCUUUUGAACUUCAAGAAAAUCCUAAAUAAAGCUGAGUCACCUUUUACUCAAGGAAUAUCAGACAAAACCAAACUAACUGAGCUUUACAGUACAGAACAAAAUUCAGCAGCAGAAAGUCAAGUAAUAGAAAACACUGAAGUAAAAGAGAUAACAGAGGAAUCAGAGAGCAAAAAUGACCAGGCAGGUUGGUAUGAAAAUAUCUCUGGAAACAUAGAUUUUAAUAUGGACAUAUCAGAUGAUCAAAAGGAGCAGGAAUCUAUAGUUUCUCAAGACACUUGGGAAUCAGUUGUAGCGCAGCUUUUAUCUUCUUCCAGUUUAUCUGAGGACUUAGACACAGCUGAUAAUUCAGAGAAAGACAAGCAAAACCAGUUUGAAGAACCACAGCCUGUCUUUUCUUUUAGUCAUUAUAAAAACAUACUGAGCUUCCAAUGUUUUGCAACCAAAGAUGAGCAUUCUCUGCAAAGGCUACGAGAGACUCUGAGCUUCAAUGAUGAAAAUGGCCAGACUACAAAUGGCAAAGAAAUUGAACUGAAAGGCCAAACAAAUCAGAAGAUUAAUGAACAAGUACUAGAGAAGAGUGAUGUAGACAUUUUCAAAGAAAGUGUUCUAUUUUCUCCGUUGACAGUGCAAAAUAUUGAACAAGAUAGUGAAAACACAAUGAAAGAUACUAAAUUAGUAAAAGAUAGCUCAUUUCUUUCAUUUUCAGAAUCCCAGUUAGAACACAGAGUAGACCCUUUAUUUACAUAUCCAAAAUGCAAGGAACACAAUUCUAAAAGAAAUGAAAGAGAGGAAUUUUCUAAUAUAAAAGAGAAAAGUGAAGUUUCUAUUUUAGAAGAUGAGCAGCAGGUAUCUUUAGAAUCAAAAAUAAAUAUAAAAGAUUUACCAGAACAACAUGGAUACUUCUGUGAAGAUUCUUAUUCUAGUCAACAAAAUAUUAUUAAAAAGGGAGUAAGGCAGGGUUACUUAGCUGAAAAUUUUUCAGAGGAUAAUAGUCAUGAACUUGGCAUUGAUCACAUUGUUGACACAAAGAAAAUUCAAGUUUCAGACCAGUUAUCUUCUCUGCAUUUUGAUGAAUCACUAUCAAAACACCAUGUAAAUAAUGAAGUACAGGAACAACAUAUUACUUUGGAUUCUGAAGAGGAAAGAGAACUCACUGAUGGGGAAUAUACUGAAAAUUCUUCAGACAAAGGUUUGCAUGAUGUCUCACAAGAUUCCAUAAAAGAUCAUUUUUCCAACUCAAAUGUUGAUGAUGAUGUGUUAGACAAAAUUGUAGUGAAUAGCAAAGACAUGAAUAAUUUUUCCCAAGACAGAAUAAAACAGCCAGAGAAUUUUUCACAUGUUUCAGAGUGUGGUGAAGAUAACCUAGAACACAGUGAGCAAAUGAUAAAAAAUUAUGAGCCAAAUAAACCCCAAAAUGAAAAGAGAGCAAAUAUUUUGGCUAAUCAAGAAACAUCUUCAGUAGCUACAUCUGAGGAAAUAAUACAAAGUAAGAGUAUAAUUCUUGAGCAAGACAGUCACACAUUAAAUUAUUUACUGUAUGAUUUGCAAAACAAAGGCAAUGAAGUUCCACAAUCUUCUAUGCCAUUUCCACAGGAGCAAAUAGAUGACGAAUACAAUAAAAGAGAACAUAUUUCAAAUCCGUCUGAACAGCACUCUGAUAAUAUUAGAAUUAGUGAUGAUUCAUUAACAGUAAAUGUUCUUGGUGAACAAGUCCUACAAGAACAAAUUAUAGCACCUGAUGCUAGUGCUGAUACUUUUUCUGAAGAGGAGCUUCAAUCUCAACAAAUUUCCAUGAAUAUACCACACCAUAAAAAAGAGCCAAUAGAUAUAGAACUGGAUGAUUCAUCUUCCCAACAUGAGCCUCUGAUAUCAGAAUGUGGGACUGGGGAUAAUAGUAAUUCAGAUCCUGGAAAGAAAUAUAGAACUCAGAUGCUACAUACUAAAAGAAAAGAGUCUUCCAUAUCAUCAGAUUUAGAAGUACCAGAGCCCAGCAGUUCAAGUCAUCAUGAAGAUAUGGAAAGCAUAAAUACAGAAAAUGAAUCUGAAUACCAGAAAAUAUCAUCAUAUCCUCAUUCAAAUGACAAUGUAACACCAAAGUUACAGGAUGUAGCAAAAUCACAGAAAAUGUCUGAAGAAAGUUUAGUUACAACAAAAAUAACUGCAGAAUCCAAUCAUAUCCUACUUAAUGAACACGAACAUUUAUUCCAAGAACAAUCUAGUGUAGUUGAGAACUCUGAAAAAAGAAACCUAGCAUUACAUUUAGAAUCUUUUGAGUCUACUGAAUUGCAAACCCAGGCACCUCUUAAAAAUCAUGGUGGCUCUAAUCCUAACAAGCCUUUGUUACAUAUUCCCCAUUAUCAUGAUUCAGCACACAACAACAUAGAACGUGUACCUUCGCAAAGUGAGCAGGGCUUGGAAACACUCCAUUUAAAUGCUGUGAAACAUAGAGAUCUGAAAGGUAAAAGACACAUUGAUAGGGAAGAUGCUCUUCCAACUGAAAACAUAAAUCAUAUAAAAAAAUUAACUAUUUCUGAAAAAGCAACAGACAGUAAGGACAAAAGCAAAAAAAAUACUGAUGAUCAGAAAAAAACAGACUCACAAAAUAUAAAUUAUAAAAAUGGUGUCAUGACAGAGGGGGGAGUGACUAGUAUUUUUACAAAAACUUCACAUUUUCUUGGAAGUUUGUUUAGUAAAAAUAAUAAUGGAGACUUUAGAAUAAAUUCUGAACAAAAAAGUCCUGUCCUAGACCCAAAUGAAAACAGGGAAGAUAUUAGGAUAAACCAGAUAAAGGUAGAAUUUAAUAACGUGCAAAGGACAGAGGCUGAGUUAAAGGAAAACGAAUCUGAACAAGAGAAAGACACAAUUCAGAUGGCAGAAGCUACAAAUAAUUUAAACAUAGAUAAUUUUAAAAUGCUAAAAGGUAGAUCUGAGGAAGGACAACUUGGCAUUCAGGAAAAAAAUAUUACAUCAGAAACAGGAACAAACAACAAGGAAACUAAUAAAACCAUAAUCUGGGAGACAGGGUCUAUGUCCCAGAAAACCAGGAAAGAAGGCCAAAGAUUAAUUGAAGGGGACACAGAUAUAUCCAACCCAUUCAUUGCGUACCAACAGCUUUAUUCAAAAUUGUCUCAGGAAGUGAAGCAACCUUUAAAGAGUCUAUGUGAAAAAAACAAACUCUUGGUGCUAGAGCAACAGUUUAAAAAAGUUCAGCAUGAUAUCACUACUUUUACAUGUGAAGACAGUUUCAUGCCGAAGAAACAAGUGACUGCUUCUGUGGAAGAGGAACAUAAUCUGGACAUUGACUAUGAGAAAUGUAUAAAGGAGAAAAUGAAUUUUCUUCCAGAGGUACAAGAUCUUCUAUCAGCCAUCAGAAUGAAGUGUGAAGCCCAAAAUGCAGAAUCAGAUAUAGCUGAUGAGAGAAAAUUAUCAGACAAAGCUCCAAAAGAAGACCAUCACAUGCAUACAGCUUUGUAUAAAGAACAUAACAGUGGCCAACAUUCAAAAGCAAUAACAAUUGCUCCAGUGAAUGCUCAGGAGAAAAUGUACAAUUCAGCAAAAAAUAUACAGUUAGAUGCUAAAAAACCUUUAUCACAGAUCUUUUUCCUAAUUCAAAACUACAUUCCCAAUAAUGAAGAAGACUGGAUAUAUCAGAUUCUCCUGCAUUUUGAUUGUCUUGACGUUGGUGACUUUGUAAAAUCUGUAUUUUCAGCAGCGGCAACUGUUAGCAAAAAGGUUGUGACAGCGUUGCCUGAAGAUAUGAGACCUGGUCCUGAUCUUUAUGGUUUCCCAUGGGAAAUAGUGAUUUGUGCUGCAGUUGUUGGAGUUUUUACAGUCUUACUGUUUCUGUGUAGGAGUUAUCAAUCAUGGACAAGUCAAGUCAUUUAAGUGACGCUGCCCAGCUAUUGCUGUCUGUUUAAAAAUUUCACCAUCAUGAAAUCUAAGGAAGAAUUUUUGUGCUUAGUACCAUUAAAAAGCUACACCACAGGAGAGAUCACUUUUGGAAAAAGUAAAAGGCUUUUUUUUUGGGGGGGGGGCGGCGGGGGGAAAUGGCUUAGAUCUGCAAAAAGUAAACUUGCUUGUUUCAGAUUGAAGUCCCUCCAUGUCGGGGAAAGAGAAGGGCUUUGCUUGAUAGUUGGCAGUGAUACAUCUUUCAUUAAAUACACUUCACUGCAUCAUUCAUUCAGUCUGUCCUGUGCGGUAAGUUGUCUGGAGACUUAAACAAUGAGUAUUGUGAUGAGAUUAGUGAACUAUAUAUGCUCAACUUCUAGCUUGCAAAAUUCUUUUAAGGCUCCUUUACAAGACAUUUCAGCUGAAUACAGUCCUGUUGCUACACGACAUUUGCUGGUUAAGUAGGGGCACAUAUUAGAGAGGUUUUGUGUGUUUCGAAAAGAAUUAAUAGAAAUUCUUUCAAACUACAAGACCAAUAAUGCUUGUGAGUUCCUGGAAUUUAUGAAUGAUGUCCCCUCUAUGUCAUGGGUAGCUUUUCUGUGUGAUAUUACUGAUCACUUGAAUUUCCUCCAGGGAUCUGUUUGAAAAAGUGAGUGCCUUUCAGAGGAAUCUUGAAAUCUUUGACAUGAAAAAUGUUGCACUUCCCCACGUUGUGUGUUGUUGCUACAGAUAAAACUUCAAUGAAAAUGAUGCAAGAAUUCCUAAGCAAUCUGAUCAAAAAUUUUAAAAUGCGAGUGGAGAAUUUUAAAAUUCCAAAGGAUUUGCUUUUGUUUGUCUCUGCCAAUGGACUGUGCCCUUUUGAAGCAAAGAACAUUCUUGAUUCAAUUAACGAAACUGCCUUUCAAUUAGAAAUUGUAAGGCUCCAGAGCUCAGAUGUCUUGAAGGCAAAGUUCAGAGAAGUGGGACUUCAUGAUUUGUGGACUCCAAUAUGCUGACCUGUUUCAGAAUUGUCAGAAUCUAGUCAUCUAUCUGUUAACAGAGUUGGGAUCAACGUACCUCCGCAAAUCUGGGUUUUCUAUCAUGAACGUUAUAAGAGACCAACAUCGCAAUCACCUGAUAGAUGAGCAUCUUCACCAGUGCAUGUGCUUUGCCCUGACCUACAAACCACUCUUCACAAAGCUUGCUAAAGAUUGUAACAAACACAGGUAAUGAUGGUGUUUUAUAAUCUUUGUUAAAAGGUAGAAACACUAAUACUUAUGUUGCAGUCAAAGUCUUUAUUGGCAGCUGAAGUGGUUUUAAUUUUGUCAGCCUUCUGAGCAAAUGGCCCGCCUCUUGUAAUAAAAUUCUGAAAUUGGCCCACUCUAAUUGAGAAUCACUGGCCUAGGGUCUCUCAUCAAUCCUUGAUCCUAGCUGUCGUGAAUGGCUAACAGCUUGUCAACGUAAGGAUAUUUCUUAAUGUAUGUGACAGUAUAGAUCCCACUGAGGGUGUCAAUGAACCUCUUGCAUUCAAGUCUCUCCUCCUCUUCCCCCUUCCCACCCCCCCUUUUUUUUAACAAUAGUGUCUGCUUACACUGCAUACACCUUGUACUCCUGUACAAGGGCAUUAAGGCCUGAGUGACUUCAACCUUCUCUGUUCCUUCUAAUCUGUGAAUGUCUAACCCACUAGGUUUUGCCAAACCUUCAAAACUCUUGAUAUUUCAACAUAUAACCACUGUGAUUAGAAUUGACCCAUCUGGACCGAGUAUCAGCAGUUAGAUCCACCUGUUCAAAUCUCCCAGUACAGGGCUACUUAACAUAGCAUGAAGGUCUCAUCAGAUCCUGAGGAGACAAGCUAACAGACAAGCCAAUUUUAUCUAUUGCCCAAUCUAGUCACAAGCGAUGCCAAAGACCAGUGCAGAGAAAAGGACACCGAGAAAAGACUCAUCACUGAUCUCAACACCUCCAGUACCCAAGUCCCAGGACUGAGAGAGGGCGCUCCAAACACGGAGUUGUGGACUCUGGGCAGAACUCGGUGUUAUUCCACAAGGACAGACUCGUACAUCUCCCAACCUAUCUGAACACAUCUCAGAACCAGGGUCAGAUGCAGUCAUUGCACUUGAUGCAUUGGAUGUCGGCUGACUGAACACUGCUGGUAGAAACUGCUGCCUAUAGAUUCGGGAAGUCCUCAUACAAAGUGGGAAACCUUCCACUAGGAAUACUUGCUCUUCAAAAUGGCAAAGAUUUUUCAUAUGGCCAGUCCAAUGUGAUCUAGACCCAGUAGAGGUCUUGAUAUUGAAGCUCCCUGACUACGUGCUGCACCUGAAAUAUGCUGGAUUAGCAUUCAACACACUCUCUCUCAAGGUCCACCUUGCAGCAAUAUUGGUGUGUCACACUCUGGUAUACUCAUUUGGGAUCUCGCAUGUGACAAUAUCAAAAUUUCCUCGGGGCCUCCUUCAUAUUUACUUCCUGGUUAGACUGACUCCCAUGUGGGCCCUCAACAUUGUUCUCCUAAAACUCCUGUAGACUCAUAAGAACAUAAGAAUGGCCAUACAGGAUCACACAUAUGGUCCAUGUAGCCCAGUAUGCUGACUUCAAACAGUGGCCAGUGCCAGAUGCUCCAGAGGGAAUGA